This 42-nucleotide transfer RNA is filed under the name Canis lupus (wolf). Its description in RNAcentral is "partial tRNA-Phe". The record is from RNAcentral. Lineage: Eukaryota; Metazoa; Chordata; Mammalia; Carnivora; Canidae.
GGCACUGAAAAUGCCAAGAUGAGUCGCACGACUCCAUAAACA